GUGGGGAAUCUUCCGCAAUGGACGAAAGUCUGACGGAGCAACGCCGCGUGAGUGAUGAAGGUCUUCGGAUUGUAAAGCUCUGUUAAUCGGGACGAAAGAGCCUAGUGUGAAUAAUGCUAGGAAGUGACGGUACCGGAAUAGAAAGCCACGGCUAACUACGUGCCAGCAGCCGCGGUAAUACGUAGGUGGCAAGCGUUGUCCGGAAUUAUUGGGCGUAAAGCGCGCGCAGGCGGAGCUGCAAGUCUGUCUUAAAAGUUCGGGGCUUAACCCCGUGAUGGGAUGGAAAAUACAGAUCGAGAGGAUCGGAGAGGAAAGUGGAAUUCCUAGUGUAGCGGUGAAAUGCGUAGAUAUUAGGAAGAACACCAGUGGCGAAGGCGACUUUCUGGACGAAAACUGACGCUGAGGCGCGAAAGCCAGGGGAGCGAACGGGAUUAGAUACCCCAGUAGUCC
This 450-nucleotide ribosomal RNA is filed under the name uncultured bacterium. RNAcentral describes it as "partial 16S ribosomal RNA". It matches the Rfam family "Bacterial small subunit ribosomal RNA", at positions 354 to 796 of the family's 1533-position model. The record is from RNAcentral.